This 72-nucleotide small RNA is filed under the name Flavobacterium sp. 103. RNAcentral describes it as "Flavo-1 RNA". It matches the Rfam family "Flavo-1 RNA". Lineage: Bacteria; Pseudomonadati; Bacteroidota; Flavobacteriia; Flavobacteriales; Flavobacteriaceae. The record is from RNAcentral.
CUUUAGCCCCGGGUGAAGUGGAAAUCCUCCCGAUUUUUAUUCGGGAGAUUGUAACGGAAAACGGGACGAUGU